RNAcentral lists this ribosomal RNA (512 nucleotides) under uncultured bacterium. RNAcentral's name for it is "partial 16S ribosomal RNA". It matches the Rfam family "Bacterial small subunit ribosomal RNA", at positions 28 to 507 of the family's 1533-position model. The record is from RNAcentral.
GACGAACGCUGGCGGCGUGCCUAAUACAUGCAAGUCGAGCGAGCGGAACUAACAGAUUUACUUCGGUAAUGACGUUAGGAAAGCGAGCGGCGGAUGGGUGAGUAAUAUGUGGGGAACCUGCCCCAUAGUCUGGGAUACUACUUGGAAACAGGUGCUAAUCCCGGAUAAGAAAGCAGAUCGCAUGCUCAGCUUUUAAAAGGCGGCGUAAGCAGUCGCUAUGGGCUGGCUGCGCGGUGCAUUAGCUAGUUGGUAAGGUAAAGGCUUACCAAGGCGAUGAUGCGUAGCCGAGUUGAGAGACUGAUCGGCCACAUUGGGACUGAGACACGGCCCAAACUCCUACGGGAGGCAGCAGUAGGGAAUCUUCCACAAUGGACGCAAGUCUGAUGGAGCAACGCCGCGUGAGUGAAGAAGGUUUUCGGAUCGUAAAGCUCUGUUGUUGGUGAAGAAGAAUAGAAGUAGUAACUGCCCUUUAUUUGACGGUAAUCAAACAGAAAGUCACGGCUAACUACGUG